This 519-nucleotide ribosomal RNA is filed under the name uncultured archaeon. Its description in RNAcentral is "bacterial SSU rRNA". It matches the Rfam family "Archaeal small subunit ribosomal RNA", at positions 325 to 847 of the family's 1478-position model. The record is from RNAcentral.
ACGGGGUGCAGCAGGCGCGAAAACUUCGCAAUGUGGGAAACCACGACGAGGGGAAUCCAAGUGCUUGCACAAUGUGUAGGCUGUUUCCAUGCCUAAAAAGCAUGGAGAGUAAGGGCUGGGUAAGACGGGUGCCAGCCGCCGCGGUAAUACCCGCAGCCCGAGUGGUGGUCGUUAUUAUUGGGCCUAAAACGUCCGUAGCCGGCCCGGUAAAUUCGUGGGGAAAUCGGUCAGCUUAACUGACCGAAGUCCGCGGAGACUGCCGGGCUUGGGACUGGGUGAGGUCAGAGGUACUUCAGGGGUAGGGGUAAAAUCCUGUAAUCCUUGAAGGACCACCAGUGGCGAAGGCGUCUGACUAGAACGGAUCCGACGGUAAGGGACGAAGCCCUGGGGCACAAACGGGAUUAGAUACCCCGGUAGUCCAGGGUGUAAACGCUGUGGGCUUGGUGUUGGGAGUCCCACGAGGGCGCCCAGUGCCGGAGAGAAGUUGUUAAGCCUACUGCCUGGGAGUACGCUCGCAAG